CGAGCCGGAGCCCCGGUAA
RNAcentral lists this microRNA (19 nucleotides) under Spodoptera frugiperda (fall armyworm). RNAcentral describes it as "sfr-miR-10470-5p". Lineage: Eukaryota; Metazoa; Arthropoda; Insecta; Lepidoptera; Noctuidae. The record is from miRBase by way of RNAcentral.